This 77-nucleotide transfer RNA is filed under the name Kluyveromyces dobzhanskii CBS 2104. RNAcentral's name for it is "tRNA-Tyr". Lineage: Eukaryota; Fungi; Ascomycota; Saccharomycetes; Saccharomycetales; Saccharomycetaceae. The record is from RNAcentral.
AAUCUGGAGAUCGGGCGUUCGACUCGCCCCCGGGAGACUCUCGGUAGCCAAGUUGGUCUAAGGCGCCAGACUGUAAU